CCUACGGGAGGCAGUAGUAGGGAAUUUUCGUCAAUGGGCGCAAGCCUGAACGAGCAAUGCCGCGUGAACGAGGAAGGUCUUCGGAUCGUAAAGUUCUGUUGAAGGGGAAAAAGAGCGGAGAGUGGAAAUGGUCUCCGAUUGAUAUUACCCUUCGAGGAAGUCACGGCUAACUACGUGCCAGCAGCCGCGGUAAUACGUAGGUGGCGAGCGUUAUCCGGAAUGAUUGGGCGUAAAGGGUGCGUAGGCGGCCUGCUAAGUCUGGAGUGAAAGGUACCGGCUCAACCGGUACAGGCUCUGGAAACUGGCGGGCUAGAGAGCAGGAGAGGGCGGUGGAACUCCAUGUGUAGCGGUAAAAUGCGUAGAUAUAUGGAAGAACACCAGUGGCGAAGGCGGCCGCCUGGCCUGUUACUGACGCUGAGGCACGAAAGCGUGGGGAGCAAAUAGGAUUAGAUACCCCGGUAGUC
RNAcentral lists this ribosomal RNA (464 nucleotides) under uncultured bacterium. Its description in RNAcentral is "partial 16S ribosomal RNA". It matches the Rfam family "Bacterial small subunit ribosomal RNA", at positions 338 to 795 of the family's 1533-position model. The record is from RNAcentral.